CAAUCGGGUUGAGGACCUGAAGAAUGCAUCAGGAGGGCAAGGGCUCCCUCAGAAAAAGGCAGAGGGGGACGUGCCAGCAGGGCUCCCUGGAGGCCAUCCACAGCCCCUGAGUUGCCAUCCUCCUUGGUGAACGACCACACAACCAGUUCCUUUAGCUGCCUUUUCCUGACCAGUCCAGGCUGCUCGAACUCCUGAAUCCCUCUGCAGAGUUUCCUUCAUCAGCCAUUCCUGUGCACAGACCUCACCCUGCUGUCAAGAGCAAUAAAUGGCCUGUCUGACUUGAUGUGCGUGGGGCUUCACCAAAUGGGAACUGAAAACCAGAGAAUUUCAUCUCCAUAAGUAAAUAUAUCCAAGGAUGCAGGAAGUCCUUUAGCACUUCUUAUCCACCAAGCCAGCAAGGGGCUUACUAAGCCUAAGGAGAAGCCAUUGAACAUUACAGGCUUGGCCCUGCCCUCAGGAAGCUUCUGUUCUGGAGAACUGAGGUAGCCUAAGAAACAAAGCCUUUAUAAACAAGUCACUUGUGUAAUGAUGCUUUGAAGGUUUGCAUUUGUUGGCAAACAAUAAGGAUAUGUGGGUCCACAUUGUGUAUUCAAGAUCAAGUAUCAAAAUGAAAUUCUAUAACAGGCUUUGGCACAACUCCAAGUUUGAAUUAUGGAGGAUAAAUGUUCUCAGCUUUAUACUGGAGUUUUUUGGAAGAAAAAUAUUAUAAAAGAUGACUCUAUGGCAGUAUCUAGAAUACUAAAACCACUGAAAAACUACAUUUAAAAUUUUGUAAUAAAAAAAGUCAUUUUUGUCUGUA
Long non-coding RNA from Galeopterus variegatus (Sunda flying lemur), 799 nucleotides. RefSeq lists it as uncharacterized. The transcript has 2 exons. The record is from RefSeq and is a predicted model, not a curated record. NCBI's taxonomy places the organism in Eukaryota, Metazoa, Chordata, Mammalia, Dermoptera, Cynocephalidae.